This 252-nucleotide ribosomal RNA is filed under the name uncultured bacterium. Its description in RNAcentral is "partial 16S ribosomal RNA". It matches the Rfam family "Bacterial small subunit ribosomal RNA", at positions 524 to 776 of the family's 1533-position model. The record is from RNAcentral.
UACGAAGGAUGCGAGCGUUAUCCGGAUUUAUUGGAUUUAAAGGGUGCGUAGGCGGACUGUCAAGUCAGCGGUAAAAUUGAGAGGCUCAACCUCUUCCCGCCGUUGAAACUGGUGGUCUUGAGUGGAUGAGAAGUACGCGGAAUGCGUGGUGUAGCGGUGAAAUGCAUAGAUAUCACGCAGAACUCCGAUUGCGAAGGCAGCGUACCGGCAUCCAACUGACGCUGAGGCACGAAAGCGUGGGGAUCAAACAGG